This 497-nucleotide ribosomal RNA is filed under the name uncultured bacterium. Its description in RNAcentral is "partial 16S ribosomal RNA". It matches the Rfam family "Bacterial small subunit ribosomal RNA", at positions 28 to 507 of the family's 1533-position model. The record is from RNAcentral.
GAUGAACGCUGGCGGCGUGCCUAAUACAUGCAAGUCGAGCGAACGGACGAGAAGCUUGCUCUUCUGAUGUUAGCGGCGGACGGGUGAGUAACACGUGGAUAACCUACCUAUAAGACUGGGAUAAUUUCGGGAAACCGGAGCUAAUACCGGAUAAUAUUUUGAACCGCAUGGUUCAAAAGUGAAAGACGGUCUUGCUGUCACUUAUAGAUGGAUCCGCGCUGCAUUAGCUAGUUGGUAAGGUAACGGCUUACCAAGGCAACGAUGCAUAGCCGACCUGAGAGGGUGAUCGGCCACACUGGAACUGAGACACGGUCCAGACUCCUACGGGAGGCAGCAGUAGGGAAUCUUCCGCAAUGGGCGAAAGCCUGACGGAGCAACGCCGCGUGAGUGAUGAAGGUCUUCGGAUCGUAAAACUCUUUUAUUAGGGAAGAACAUAUGUGUAAGUAACUGUGCACAUCUUGACGGUACCUAAUCAGAAAGCCACGGCUAACUACGUG